UCGGGCAAGGUUGUAGAGCUUUCCCAUUUAGGUGAACGCAACCUUCACGGUGAACGCGAUGGAGUCAAGGUUCGCCAGCGUAAUCACGCCAAAGUCGCCAUAGAUGUCCAUAUUGCCGCCAGUCGGGGGGCGGGGGGGAGCCCGUUCCGGCUGCGUCAAACACCCCGACCUCGGUGAUUGACCGAGCUCCAGCAGCAGUAAUAGUGCCAACAACCUGAUACGUGUCAUUGGUCUGCGUCGUGGUGAACUGAGAUGAUGUGCCGAGAACGCGCGCCUCUGUCGUGGAGGUGGUCGUUACGACGUUUGCUGACGCAGCAGCGCCAGUGCCCGUGCCCCACUGUAGAUAAAGUGGACGCGAAGCAUAGCCAUUCCAGCCAGCCGUCAAGUUGGCUAGCCCGUUGUUCUGGAUUCUCGCGGUCAUUGUUUAAAUCCCAACUUGCGCCGAAGGCGAUAAAGAAAGCGCUUGACCGGAUUUCUGUGCCAGUAAGACACCACGCCGUGGUGCUCUACCGUUCCAUCCGCCCGAAUGACCGUAAUUUCAAUUGAGGCUGACUUUGCCUCUCCAUGAGCCGAAACCGUUGACAUCAUCAGCUCUUCUUCAUCUCGAUCAUGAUGGUGCCCUUCUUGCCCGAGCCGAGGCC
This 641-nucleotide unclassified non-coding RNA is filed under the name Hevea brasiliensis (rubber tree). The record is from RNAcentral. Lineage: Eukaryota; Viridiplantae; Streptophyta; Magnoliopsida; Malpighiales; Euphorbiaceae.